GAUGAACGCUGGCGGCGUGCCUAAUACAUGCAAGUCGAGCGAACGGACGAGAAGCUUGCUUCUCUGAUGUUAGCGGCGGACGGGUGAGUAACACGUGGAUAACCUACCUAUAAGACUGUGAUAACUUCGGGAAACCGUAGCUAAUACCGGAUGAUAUUUUGAACCGCAUGGUUCAAAAGUGAAAGACGGUCUUGCUGUCACUUAUAGAUUGAUCCGCGCUGCAUUAGCUAGUUGGUAAGGUAACGGCUUACCAAGGCAACGAUGCAUAGCCGACCUGAGAGGGUGAUCGGCCACACUGGAACUGAGACACGGUCCAGACUCCUACGGGAGGCAGCAGUAGGGAAUCUUGCGCAAUGGGCGAAAGCCUGACGGAGCAAAGCCGCGUGAAGGAUGAAGGUCUUCGGAUCGUAAAACUCUGUUAUAAGGGAAGAACAUAUGUGUAAGUAACUGUGCACAUCUUGACGGUACCUAAUCAGAAAGCCACGGCUAACUACGUG
RNAcentral lists this ribosomal RNA (497 nucleotides) under uncultured bacterium. RNAcentral describes it as "partial 16S ribosomal RNA". It matches the Rfam family "Bacterial small subunit ribosomal RNA", at positions 28 to 507 of the family's 1533-position model. The record is from RNAcentral.